GCGCCUGUAGCUCAAUGGAUAGAGCAGCUCCCCACUAAGGUCCGGUUCCGGGUUCGAGUCCCGGCAGGCGCACCA
This 75-nucleotide transfer RNA is filed under the name Pseudorhodobacter sp. RNAcentral's name for it is "tRNA-Ser". It matches the Rfam family "tRNA". From Rfam's summary of the family: Transfer RNA (tRNA) molecules are approximately 80 nucleotides in length. Their secondary structure includes four short double-helical elements and three loops (D, anti-codon, and T loops). Further hydrogen bonds mediate the characteristic L-shaped molecular structure. tRNAs have two regions of fundamental functional importance: the anti-codon, which is responsible for specific mRNA codon recognition, and the 3' end, to which the tRNAs corresponding amino acid is attached (by aminoacyl-tRNA synthetases). tRNAs cope with the degeneracy of the genetic code in two manners: having more than one tRNA (with a specific anti-codon) for a particular amino acid; and 'wobble' base-pairing, i.e. permitting non-standard base-pairing at the 3rd anti-codon position. The record is from RNAcentral. Lineage: Bacteria; Pseudomonadati; Pseudomonadota; Alphaproteobacteria; Rhodobacterales; Paracoccaceae.